Molecule: ribosomal RNA, 256 nt
Filed under: uncultured bacterium
Lineage: Bacteria
Description: partial 16S ribosomal RNA
Rfam family: Bacterial small subunit ribosomal RNA
Source: RNAcentral
UAAUACGUAGGGUGCGAGCGUUAAUCGGAAUUACUGGGCGUAAAGGGAGCGCAGGCGGAUAUAUAAGUUAGAUGUGAAAUCCCCGAGCUUAACUUGGGAACGGCAUUUAAGACUGUAGAUCUAGAGUUUGUCAGAGGGGGGUAGAAUUCCAAGUGUAGCAGUGAAAUGCGUAGAGAUUUGGAGGAAUACCGGUGGCGAAGGCGGCCCCCUGGGAUAGAACUGACGCUCAUGCUCGAAAGCGUGGGUAGCAAACAGG